GAUGAACGCUGGCGGCGUGCUUAAUACAUGCAAGUCGAGCGAACAGACGAGGAGCUUGCUCCUCUGUCGUUAGCGGCGGACGGGUGUGUAACACGUGGAUAACCUACCUAUAUGACUGGGAUAACUUCGGGACACCGGAGCUAAUACCGGAUAAUAUAUUGAACCGCAUGGUUCAAUAGUGAAAGACGGUUUUGCUGUCACUUAUAGAUGGAUCCGCGCCGCAUUAGCUAGUUGGUAAAGUAACGGCUUACCAAGGCAACGAUGCGUAACCGACCUGAGAGGGUGAUCGGGGACUGCGGCAGUGCACCACGGUCCAGAGUCCGACAGAAGGCAGCAGUACGGAAUGUAGCGCGAUGGGCGGAAGCUUGACCGAGGGGCGCCGCGUGAAUGAAGAGACUCUUCGGAUGGGAGAACUCUGUUAGUAGGGGAGAACAAAUGCGUCAGCAACUAUGCGCGUCAUGACGGUACCUAGUCAGAAAGCCCCGGCUAACUACGUG
This 497-nucleotide ribosomal RNA is filed under the name uncultured bacterium. Its description in RNAcentral is "partial 16S ribosomal RNA". It matches the Rfam family "Bacterial small subunit ribosomal RNA", at positions 28 to 507 of the family's 1533-position model. The record is from RNAcentral.